RNAcentral lists this ribosomal RNA (492 nucleotides) under uncultured bacterium. RNAcentral describes it as "partial 16S ribosomal RNA". It matches the Rfam family "Bacterial small subunit ribosomal RNA", at positions 29 to 507 of the family's 1533-position model. The record is from RNAcentral.
AGUGAACGCUGGCGGUAGGCCUAACACAUGCAAGUCGAACGGCAGCACAGUAAGAGCUUGCUCUUACGGGUGGCGAGUGGCGGACGGGUGAGGAAUACAUCGGAAUCUACUUUUUCGUGGGGGAUAACGUAGGGAAACUUACGCUAAUACCGCAUACGACCUACGGGUGAGAGCAGGGGAUCUUCGGACCUUGCGCGAUUGAAUGAGCCGAUGUCGGAUUAGCUAGUUGGCGGGGUAAAGGCGCACCAAGGCGACGAUCCGUAGCUGGUCUGCGAGGAUGAUCAGCCACACUGGAACUGAGACACGGUCCAGACUCCUACGGGAGGCAGCAGUGGGGAAUAUUGGACAAUGGGCGCAAGCCUGAUCCAGCCAUACCGCGUGGGUGAAGAAGGCCUUCGGGUUGUAAAGCCCUUUUGUUGGGAAAGAAAAGCAGCAGGUUAAUACCCCGCUGUUCUGACGGUACCCAAAGAAUAAGCACCGGCUAACUUCGUG